UACGUAGGUGGCAAGCGUUGUCCGGAUUUACUGGGCGUAAAGAGCGUGUAGGCGGCCAUGUAGGUCCGGUGUGAAAACUCGAGGCUUAACCUCGAGAUGUCAUCGGAAACCAUUUGGCUAGAGUCCGGAAGAGGAGAGUGGAAUUCCUGGUGUAGCGGUGAAAUGCGCAGAUAUCAGGAAGAACACCAAUGGCGAAAGCAGCUCUCUGGGACGGUACUGACGCUGAGACGCGAAAGCGUGGGGAGCGAACAGG
RNAcentral lists this ribosomal RNA (253 nucleotides) under uncultured bacterium. RNAcentral's name for it is "partial 16S ribosomal RNA". It matches the Rfam family "Bacterial small subunit ribosomal RNA", at positions 524 to 776 of the family's 1533-position model. The record is from RNAcentral.